GGGUCAGUAGGUUGGUCGUGCCACCGGUACGUACUGGUCUCACUGAUUCCUCCUUCCUGAAGAACCGUAAUGCCAUUAAUUUGGUGUUGCGGGGAAACAGGAUUGUUACUUUGAAAAAAUUAGAGUGUUUAAAGCAAGCCAACGCUUGAAUACAUUAGCAUGGAAUAAUGAAAUAGGACGAUCGAUCCUAUUUUGUUGGUUUCUAGGAUUGACGUA
This 216-nucleotide ribosomal RNA is filed under the name Glomeromycotina sp. RNAcentral describes it as "partial small subunit ribosomal RNA". The stretch from base 40 to 216 matches the Rfam family "Eukaryotic small subunit ribosomal RNA", at positions 686 to 864 of the family's 1831-position model. Lineage: Eukaryota; Fungi; Glomeromycota. The record is from RNAcentral.